This 45-nucleotide non-coding RNA is filed under the name Trichobilharzia regenti. Lineage: Eukaryota; Metazoa; Platyhelminthes; Trematoda; Strigeidida; Schistosomatidae. The record is from RNAcentral.
GUCCAGUCGAUGAGUCCCAAAUAGGACGAAAUCCGCAUCCUGGAU